This 1849-nucleotide long non-coding RNA is filed under the name Fragaria vesca (wild strawberry). RNAcentral describes it as "long non-coding RNA (FVES_LNC001734)". The record is from RNAcentral. Lineage: Eukaryota; Viridiplantae; Streptophyta; Magnoliopsida; Rosales; Rosaceae.
GUUGAUGUAAAAUAUUCUUGAUGGCAAAAUCCCCAAAAACUGAAACAGACUUUUACUAGAAUAACCACCAAACUUUGCGCAAAGCAUUGGUGAAAUGGAGCCCCUCUCAUCCAUUACAAGUCCUAUCACUGGGACCCUGAAAUUCAAUAAAAUCAUAAAUCAGAAAAAGAGGAACUUACCACAGAACCUAUCAACUUAAAUUCCUAUAUACUUUGAAUGUAAGAUGGUGCUAGAACAUGUUCAAUGAGAUCAAUAUAUACUAACCUUCUCUUUCCAUGCUUCUUCUUGUUUGGUAUCCAAGAACCGUUGGGGGACACCGCUGGAAUUGUUUCACAUUACCUUCACAUCAAAAAUAUCAUAGCGAAGUUGAUAUGAACUUCAUCUUCGAAUCCGAGAAGCUCAGUUACUCUAUUAACAGUCCAUGGACGGAGAACACCCAUUCGGCUUCCUCAUGUCCACCUUUAAAACAUAAUUGAUGUACCAUUAAUCACAUUAAAUUAGCAUAUCCGACUCUGUCCCAAUACCUCAAUUUAUUCAGUCAUUGAUUAACUUCUGUAAUUCUUAGUUACCAGAACCAUGGAUCUUAAUUCUUAAAGAAAUGCUGAUGCAGAAGAAUCUCGCCCCGCAGCUGACACAACCAAUACUGUGCAACUGGAAGUUGUCAAUGGCUGUGAUGUGAAGCUUUUUAACACCUGUUUGACAAACAGACUAUUUUUAGAAAACAGAGUUUAUCAGAUUUCUAAGGGUAAGCAAAGUUGGUAACUAAAUCUGAUAAUAACAAGCUCCUACUUGUAUUAGUAAUGAGCUUCCAAAUCUACAUAGUUUUCCUUUGUUCACAACAGUCAAAGGGCCUAAAAAUAAAGAAAUAUGUUAUGUCAUCUAUAAUAAGAGACCCAUGUUAGAGGUAGUGUAAAUAUAACAACAAAGGGUGUCCAGAUGAGUUUCCCAGCUUCUACAAAUCCAGCAAUAUAGUCUGAUCUAAAGCAUUGUACGAAUAUUUGCUACAGUUGAAAUAUUGAUUGAUAAGUCAGAUAAUUGCUUAAUCCCACAUAUAGUACUCUUCCAAAUAAUCAGCAAACAUAAAAUAGUACAUAUGUCAGAAAAUGAAUAAAACCAUAAAACAGUAACAUAUCCAAAUUCUAACCCAUUUUUUACUGAAUGUUUAAAGCUAAGGGUGUUGAUGCCACCUUGUACUUAGAGGACUUGUGCACUUGAUGUUCAAAUUUCACAGGCAAACCCCUAGAACCAAAGAUGCAAGAAAGAGCUAUCAGUGUCUCCACAACUGUCGGUUAGUCCUCUGAUGGUUAAUCAUCUCCUCAAAACCAUGCAGCGCCAGUUCCCACUAGGCAUUUCUACGCACAAUUACAGACUCCAAGUAUGUGAUUAGGAAUUUUACAGAACUGAAAAUACAGCUUCCUUUUUACAAUUUAUACUGAAAUACAGCUUACAGAAAAUCUAUACUGAAAAGACAUUGGAAAAAUAGAACUGAUGUGAAUAUAAAUUAGAUCCUCGAUUGAACUGAUAAUAGAAACUCUUUUGUGCAUAUUGAUGAGCAGAAAUACAGUAGAUUAUAGCAACAUGCAUGGUUCUGGAGAACUACUGUAUGGAUUUUGAUUUGUAGCAAAAUUCGACACAUGCAGGAGCUGGUCAAGACAAAUUAAACUAAUAUACUGGAGAGAAUAUAAUCAAUUAAACUAAACCAACUGGAUAAAGAGAACAUACUGGUUUGGAUAUCACAAAUCCCGAAUGGAGAAGCUCUUUGAUGAAAUCGAAGCCACCCUCAACUUAACCGGCUGUACAUAUAGCUAUAUUGUCCAAGCUUGCUCAAUCAAGCUAGGUUGAGCCUCUU